AACGAACGCUGGCGGCAGGCCUAACACAUGCAGGUCGAACGCCCUAGCAAUAGGGAGUGGCGCACGGGUGAGUAACGCGUGGGAACGUGCCUUUCAGUCUGGAAUAACAGCGGGAAACUGCUGCUAAUACCGGAUAUUCUCUACGGAGGAAAGAUUUAUCGCUGAAAGAUCGGCCCGCGUAAGAUUAGGUAGUUGGUAGGGUAAUGGCCUACCAAGCCUACGAUCUUUAGCUGGUCUGAGAGGAUGAUCAGCCACACUGGGACUGAGACACGGUCCAGACUCCUACGGGAGGCAGCAGUGGGGAAUAUUGGACAAUGGGCGCAAGCCUGAUCCAGCCAUGCCGCGUGAGUGACGAAGGCCUUAGGGUUGUAAAGCUCUUUUAUCAGGGACGAUGAUGACGGUACCUGAAGAAUAAGACACGGCUAACUUCGUGCCAGCCGCCGCGGUAA
Molecule: ribosomal RNA, 449 nt
Filed under: uncultured bacterium
Lineage: Bacteria
Description: partial 16S ribosomal RNA
Rfam family: Bacterial small subunit ribosomal RNA
Source: RNAcentral